GUGAGUAACACGUGAGCAACCUGCCCCUGACUCUGGGAUAAGCGCUGGAAACGGCGUCUAAUACUGGAUAUGUCCCAUCACCGCAUGGUGUGUGGGUGGAAAGAUUUUUCGGUUGGGGAUGGGCUCGCGGCCUAUCAGCUUGUUGGUGAGGUAAUGGCUCACCAAGGCGUCGACGGGUAGCCGGCCUGAGAGGGUGACCGGCCACACUGGGACUGAGACACGGCCCAGACUCCUACGGGAGGCAGCAGUGGGGAAUAUUGCACAAUGGGCGGAAGCCUGAUGCAGCAACGCCGCGUGAGGGAUGACGGCCUUCGGGUUGUAAACCUCUUUUAGCAGGGAAGAAGCGAAAGUGACGGUACCUGCAGAAAAAGCACCGGCUAACUACGUGCCAGCAGCCGCGGUAAUACGUAGGGUGCAAGCGUUAUCCGGAAUUAUUGGGCGUAAAGAGCUCGUAGGCGGUUUGUCGCGUCUGCUGUGAAAUCCCGAGGCUCAACUUCGGGCUUGCAGUGGGUACGGGCAGACUAGAGUGCGGUAGGGGAGAUUGGAAUUCCUGGUGUAGCGGUGGAAUGCGCAGAUAUCAGGAGGAACACCGAUGGCGAAGGCAGAUCUCUGGGCCGUAACUGACGCUGAGGAGCGAAAGGGUGGGGAGCAAACAGGCUUAGAUACCCUGGUAGUCCACCCCGUAAACGUUGGGAACUAGUUGUGGGGUCCUUUCCACGGAUUCCGUGACGCAGCUAACGCAUUAAGUUCCCCGCCUGGGGAGUACGGCCGCAAGGCUAAAACUCAAAGGAAUUGACGGGGACCCGCACAAGCGGCGGAGCAUGCGGAUUAAUUCGAUGCAACGCGAAGAACCUUACCAAGGCUUGACAUACACGAGAACGGGCCAGAAAUGGUCAACUCUUUGGACACUCGUGAACAGGUGGUGCAUGGUUGUCGUCAGCUCGUGUCGUGAGAUGUUGGGUUAAGUCCCGCAACGAGCGCAACCCUCGUUCUAUGUUGCCAGCACGUAAUGGUGGGAACUCAUGGGAUACUGCCGGGGUCAACUCGGAGGAAGGUGGGGAUGACGUCAAAUCAUCAUGCCCCUUAUGUCUUGGGCUUCACGCAUGCUACAAUGGCCGGUACAAUGGGCUGCGAUACCGUAAGGUGGAGCGAAUCCCAAAAAGCCGGUCCCAGUUCGGAUUGAGGUCUGCAACUCGACCUCAUGAAGUCGGAGUCGCUAGUAAUCGCAGAUCAGCAACGCUGCGGUGAAUACGUUCCCGGGUCUUGUACACACCGCCCGUCAAGUCG
Molecule: ribosomal RNA, 1287 nt
Filed under: Microbacterium arabinogalactanolyticum
Lineage: Bacteria; Bacillati; Actinomycetota; Actinomycetes; Micrococcales; Microbacteriaceae
Description: bacterial SSU rRNA
Rfam family: Bacterial small subunit ribosomal RNA
Source: RNAcentral